Molecule: ribosomal RNA, 1109 nt
Filed under: Plasmodium falciparum (malaria parasite P. falciparum)
Lineage: Eukaryota; Apicomplexa; Aconoidasida; Haemosporida; Plasmodiidae
Description: SSU rRNA
Rfam family: Eukaryotic small subunit ribosomal RNA
Source: RNAcentral
UUAAAAUUGUUGCAGUUAAAACGUUCGUAGUUGAAUAUUAAAGAAUCCGAUGUUUCAUUUAAACUGGUUUGGGAAAACCAAAUAUAUUAUAUAUUUUGCUUUGUUCAAAAUAAGGUUUUCUAAUAAAUUAUGUUUUUAUCAGAUAUGACAGAAUCUUUUUUAAAAUCUCUUCAAUAUGCUUUUAUUGCUUUUGAGAGGUUUUGUUACUUUGAGUAAAAUUAAGUGUUCAUAACAGACGGGUAGUCAUGAUUGAGUUCAUUGUGUUUGAAUACUACAGCAUGGAAUAACAAAUAUGAAUAAGCUAAUUAUUUUUUUUUUUCAUUAUUUUUUUUGAUAUUCUUAUUAGCUUAGUUACGAUUAAUAGGAGUAGCUUUGGGGGCAUUCGUAUUCAGAUGUCAGAGGUGAAAUUCUAAGAUUUUCUGGAGACGGACUACUGCGAAAGCAUUUGCCUAAUCUAUUUCCAUUAAUCAAGAACGAAAGUUAAGGGAGUGAAGACGAUCAGAUACCGUCGUAAUCUUAACCAUAAACUAUGCCGACUAGGUGUUGGAUGAAAGUGUUAAAAAUAAAAGUCAUCUUUCUAGGUGACUUUUAGAUUGUUGCUUCCUUCAGUACCUUAUGAGAAAUCAAAGUCUUUGGGUUCUGGGGCGAGUAUUCGCGCAAGCGAGAAAGUUAAAAGAAUUGACGGAAGGGCACCACCAGGCGUGGAGCUUGCGGCUUAAUUUGACUCAACACGGGGAAACUCACUAGUUUAAGACAAGAGUAGGAUUGACAGAUUAAUAGCUCUUUCUUGAUUUCUUGGAUGGUGAUGCAUGGCCGUUUUUAGUUCGUGAAUAUGAUUUGUCUGGUUAAUUCCGAUAACGAACGAGAUCUUAACCUGCUAAUUAGCGGCGAGUACACUAUAUUCUUAUUUGAAAUUGAACAUAGGUAACUAUACAUUUAUUCAGUAAUCAAAUUAGGAUAUUUUUAUUAAAAUAUCCUUUUCCCUGUUCUACUAAUAAUUUGUUUUUUACUCUAUUUCUCUCUUCUUUUAAGAAUGUACUUGCUUGAUUGAAAAGCUUCUUAGAGGAACAUUGUGUGUCUAACACAAGGAAGUUUAAGGCAACAACAAG